RNAcentral lists this long non-coding RNA (975 nucleotides) under Homo sapiens (human). RNAcentral describes it as "non-protein coding lnc-NYAP2-10:2". The record is from RNAcentral. Lineage: Eukaryota; Metazoa; Chordata; Mammalia; Primates; Hominidae.
AUUUAUUCUCCAGGUCUCAGCUGCAUUGCCACUGCCUUAGGGGAGGCCUUCCCUGACUGAUUUGAGGAGGUGCGAUGUCCAAAGGAUGCAGUUUUAAGAGAACCCACUCAUCUGGUUGAUGAAUUGGAAAAGUUGAACUUUGAGCAUGCUCAACCUGAGUGCUCGGCAAGGCAAAUGGAAUGGAGGAUCCACACUCCUGGAAGCAGCUUUCAACCAACAAUGAUGGACAGUUAGUGGCUAGAAACUCUCGCUUUAUCCCUUAGUUGGGCUUACCCUGUAUGAUCAUAUACCCUGUCGACAGCACCACUGUUGUCCAGCACUGUUGAGUUCCAGUUGCUCAGCAUAGUGUUGAUCAAGAAUUUAAGGUGCCUUCCCUCUCCUGGCUCUCUCAUUUUCCCACUUUAUUAAUAGCAUUUCCAGGGAUCACCUCUCAGUUUAGCUACUUGCAUUCAAAUUCUUGUCUCAGGAUCUGCUUCUGGGUGAAACCAAGACAUCUAAGUUCCACUGGCAAUGAAGUAAUUAAUGCCUUAAAUCUGAUUAGAUCUAUAAACUAAUUCCAGAUUCUCAUCUUUAAGGUUGGUCUCUGUGAUGAUUAAUAUUGAGUGUCAACUUGAUUGAAUUGAAGGAUGCAAAGUAUUGUUCUUGGGUGUCUGUAGGGUGUUGCCAAAGGAGGUUAGCAUUUGAGUCAGUGGACUGGGAAAGGCAGACCCACCCUCAAUCUGCGUGGGCACAAUCUAAUCAGCUGCUAGUGUGGCCAGAAUAAAAGCAGGCAGAAGAACAUGAAAAGACUAGACUAGUUUAGCCUCCCAUCCUAGAUCUUUCUCACGCACUGGAUGCUUCUUUCCCUUGAACAUCGGACUCCAAGUUCUUCAACUUUGGGAAUUGGUCUGGCUUCCUUGCUCCUCAGCCUGCAGAUGGCCUAUUAUGAGACCUCACCAUGUGAUGGUGUGAGUCAAUAUUCCUUAAUAAACCCCC